Molecule: non-coding RNA, 24 nt
Filed under: Drosophila melanogaster (fruit fly)
Lineage: Eukaryota; Metazoa; Arthropoda; Insecta; Diptera; Drosophilidae
Also listed under: 4 other names
Source: RNAcentral
GUGAACCUGCGGAAGGAUCAUUAA